Molecule: ribosomal RNA, 1440 nt
Filed under: Vibrio parahaemolyticus
Lineage: Bacteria; Pseudomonadati; Pseudomonadota; Gammaproteobacteria; Vibrionales; Vibrionaceae
Description: bacterial LSU rRNA
Rfam family: Bacterial large subunit ribosomal RNA
Source: RNAcentral
AGAGUUAGGUAAAUCCGGCUCUUUUUAAGGCUGAGACACGACGUCGAGCAUCUACGGAGUGAAGUCAUUGAUGCCAUGCUUCCAGGGAAAAGCCUCUAAGCUUCAGAUUGUAAGGAAUCGUACCCCAAACCGACACAGGUGGCGGGUAGAGAAUACCAAGGCGCUUGAGAGAACUCGGGUGAAGGAACUAGGCAAAAUGGUACCGUAACUUCGGGAGAAGGUACGCUCUCGACGGUGAAGUCCCUCGCGGAUGGAGCUAUUGAGAGUCGCAGAUACCAGGUGGCUGCAACUGUUUAUUAAAAACACAGCACUGUGCAAAAUCGUAAGAUGACGUAUACGGUGUGACGCCUGCCCGGUGCCGGAAGGUUAAUUGAUGGGGUUAGACUUCGGUCGAAGCUCUUGAUCGAAGCCCCGGUAAACGGCGGCCGUAACUAUAACGGUCCUAAGGUAGCGAAAUUCCUUGUCGGGUAAGUUCCGACCUGCACGAAUGGCGUAAUGAUGGCCACGCUGUCUCCACCCGAGACUCAGUGAAAUUGAAAUCGCUGUGAAGAUGCAGUGUACCCGCGGCUAGACGGAAAGACCCCGUGAACCUUUACUACAGCUUGGCACUGAACAUUGACCCUACAUGUGUAGGAUAGGUGGGAGGCUUUGAAGCACGUACGCCAGUAUGUGUGGAGCCGUCCUUGAAAUACCACCCUUGUAGUGUUGAUGUUCUAACGUCGACCCCUUAUCGGGGUUGCGGACAGUGCCUGGUGGGUAGUUUGACUGGGGCGGUCUCCUCCCAAAGAGUAACGGAGGAGCACGAAGGUGGGCUAAUCACGGUUGGACAUCGUGAGGUUAGUGCAAUGGCAUAAGCCCGCUUGACUGCGAGAAUGACAAUUCGAGCAGGUGCGAAAGCAGGUCAUAGUGAUCCGGUGGUUCUGAAUGGAAGGGCCAUCGCUCAACGGAUAAAAGGUACUCCGGGGAUAACAGGCUGAUACCGCCCAAGAGUUCAUAUCGACGGCGGUGUUUGGCACCUCGAUGUCGGCUCAUCACAUCCUGGGGCUGAAGUCGGUCCCAAGGGUAUGGCUGUUCGCCAUUUAAAGUGGUACGCGAGCUGGGUUUAGAACGUCGUGAGACAGUUCGGUCCCUAUCUGCCGUGGGCGUUGGAAGAUUGAAGGGGGCUGCUCCUAGUACGAGAGGACCGGAGUGGACGAACCUCUGGUGUUCGGGUUGUGUCGCCAGACGCAUUGCCCGGUAGCUAAGUUCGGAAUCGAUAACCGCUGAAAGCAUCUAAGCGGGAAGCGAGCCCUGAGAUGAGUCUUCCCUGAUACUUUAAGUAUCCUAAAGGGUUGUCGGAGACUACGACGUUGAUAGGUCAGGUGUGUAAGUGCUGUGAGGCAUUGAGCUAACUGAUACUAAUUGCCCGUGAGGCUUAACCAUACAACACCCAAGGGGUUU